UUUUUUAUAUUUUUUUAAUGUUCAUGUUUUUGAAUGUUUUAUUCAAAUAAUGUAAAAAAUAAAAUAGAUAUUGACAUGGAUUGAACAAAAGAUAUAUAUUAUUUUAUGUUGCAUAAACAAAUUGGCAAAAUAGAGAUGGAAGAUAAAAAUAUGGUCAAAGUAAUAAGAGUCUAUGGUGAAUGCCUAGGAGCUUUAAGGCGAAGAAGGUCGUGGUAAGCUGCGAAAAGCUUGGGGGAGAAGCAAACAUUUAUUGAUCCCAAGAUUACCGAAUGGAGUAAUCCAACUAGCAAGAUGCUAGUUAUCUAUGAUCUAAAUA
This 316-nucleotide unclassified non-coding RNA is filed under the name Borreliella valaisiana. Its description in RNAcentral is "partial contains 5S-23S ribosomal RNA intergenic spacer and 23S ribosomal RNA". The stretch from base 153 to 316 matches the Rfam family "Bacterial large subunit ribosomal RNA", at positions 1 to 165 of the family's 2925-position model. Lineage: Bacteria; Pseudomonadati; Spirochaetota; Spirochaetia; Spirochaetales; Borreliaceae. The record is from RNAcentral.